RNAcentral lists this ribosomal RNA (391 nucleotides) under Phaeocystis sp. JD-2012. Its description in RNAcentral is "SSU rRNA". It matches the Rfam family "Eukaryotic small subunit ribosomal RNA", at positions 491 to 895 of the family's 1831-position model. The record is from RNAcentral. Lineage: Eukaryota; Haptophyta; Phaeocystales; Phaeocystaceae.
GGCUACUUCUAGUCUUGUAAUUGGAAUGAGUACAACUUACAUCUCUUCACGAGGAUCAAUUGGAGGGCAAGUCUGGUGCCAGCAGCCGCGGUAAUUCCAGCUCCAAUAGCGUAUAUUAAAGUUGUUGCAGUUAAAAAGCUCGUAGUCGGAUUUCGGGGCGGGCCGAGCGGUCUGCCGAUGGGUAUGCACUGUUCGGCGCGUCCUUCUUUCCGGAGACCGCGUCUACUCUUAACUGAGCGGGMGYGGGAGACGGAUCGUUUACUUUGAAAAAAUCAGAGUGUUUCAAGCAGGCAGCUCGCUCUUGCAUGGAUUAGCAUGGGAUAAUGAAAUAGGACUCUGGUGCUAUUUUGUUGGUUUCGAACACCGGAGUAAUGAUUAACAGGGACAGUCA